This 472-nucleotide ribosomal RNA is filed under the name uncultured bacterium. RNAcentral's name for it is "partial 16S ribosomal RNA". It matches the Rfam family "Bacterial small subunit ribosomal RNA", at positions 28 to 507 of the family's 1533-position model. The record is from RNAcentral.
GACGAACGCUGGCGGCGUGCUUAACACAUGCAAGUCGAACGAUGAACCCGGAGCUUGCUCUGGGGGAUUAGUGGCGAACGGGUGAGUAACACGUGAGUAACCUGCCCUGGACUCUGGGAUAAGCGUUGGAAACGACGUCUAAUACCGGAUAGGACCUUGGAUCGCAUGAUCUGGGGUGGAAAGUUUUUUCGGUCUGGGAUGGACUCGCGGCCUAUCAGCUUGUUGGUGAGGUAAUGGCUCACCAAGGCGUCGACGGGUAGCCGGCCUGAGAGGGUGACCGGCCACACUGGGACUGAGACACGGCCCAGACUCCUACGGGAGGCAGCAGUGGGGAAUAUUGCACAAUGGGCGAAAGCCUGAUGCAGCAACGCCGCGUGCGGGAUGACGGCCUUCGGGUUGUAAACCGCUUUUAGUAGGGAAGAAGGGCUUCGGCUUGACGGUACUUGCAGAAAAAGGACCGGCUAACUACGUG